This 433-nucleotide ribosomal RNA is filed under the name uncultured bacterium. Its description in RNAcentral is "partial 16S ribosomal RNA". It matches the Rfam family "Bacterial small subunit ribosomal RNA", at positions 29 to 507 of the family's 1533-position model. The record is from RNAcentral.
AGCGAACGCUGGCGGCAGGCUUAACACAUGCAAGUCGAGCGGGCACUUCGGUGUCAGCGGCAGACGGGUGAGUAACACGUGGGAACGUACCCUUUGGUUCGGAAUAACGCUGGGAAACUAGCGCUAAUACCGGAUACGCCCUUUUGGGGAAAGGCUUGCUGCCGAAGGAUCGGCCCGCGUCUGAUUAGCUAGUUGGUGGGGUAAUGGCCUACCAAGGCGACGAUCAGUAGCUGGUCUGAGAGGAUGAUCAGCCACACUGGGACUGAGACACGGCCCAGACUCCUACGGAAAGCAGCAGUGGGGAAUAUUGGACAAUGGGCGCAAGCCUGAUCCAGCCAUGCCGCGUGAGUGAUGAAGGCCUUAGGGUUGUAAAGCUCUUUUGUCCGGGACGAUAAUGACGGUACCGGAAGAAUAAGCCCCGGCUAACUUCGUG